This 1521-nucleotide ribosomal RNA is filed under the name Triticum aestivum (bread wheat). RNAcentral's name for it is "partial small subunit ribosomal RNA". The record is from RNAcentral. Lineage: Eukaryota; Viridiplantae; Streptophyta; Magnoliopsida; Poales; Poaceae.
AUGGCGGCGACGCAGCCGUCGGCGGACGUGGAGGGCGCGCUCCUCGCCCACCUCAACGCCAACGGCGAGAUACCCGACUCCCGCUCCUUCGCCUCCUCCCUCGGCGUCCCGCACAAGGACGUCGAGGACGUCAUCAAGAGGCUACGCGCCUUCCACAUCAUCGAGAGCACGGACAUCACCAGGGAGGCGUGGGUGCUCACCGACGAGGCCAAGGGCUACGCCGCCGGGGGCUCCCCCGAGGUGCACCUCGUCGCGGCCAUCCCGCCUGAGGGUGCCUCCAGGGCCGCGCUCGAGGAGGAAUUCGGGGACGUCUUCGAUAUUGCACGGAAGGCUGCCGCCAAGAACAAGUGGAUUAGAUUUGAGAACGACCUCGUGCUGAGAACGGUUGAGGAUGCCAGGGAUGAGUUGCAAGAGCUGCUUAAAAGAGUGGAGAAUGGGGAGGUUGUUCCUGAUCCAAGAAAGGAGUUGGAGAGAAGAAAGCUUGUAACAAAAGAAAAAACUAUUUGGUAUUCACUGAAGAAGGGACCUGAAUUUGUUGUAAAGAGAAAAACAUUGGCUACCGAUGUGACACGAGAACAUCUCAAGAGUGGCGACUGGAAGGAUCUGGAAUUUAAAGAUUAUAACUAUGGAGCCCAAGGACAACCUAUUGCGAUAGGAUAUAGUCAACCCUUGUUGGAGGUCCGUGAAGCAAUCCAGAACAUUUUUCUUGAGAUGGGGUUCAGUGAGAUGCCUACAAACAUGUAUGUAGAGAGCAGCUUCUGGAAUUUCGAUGCACUGUUCCAGCCACAACAGCAUCCUGCUCGUGAUUCGCACGAUACAUUUUUCCUCAAAGCCCCUGCUACAACAACACAAUUACCUGAUGACUAUCUUGAGAAAGUGAAUCAAGUCCAUCAAUCUGGUGGUUAUGGUUCCAAAGGAUAUGGUUAUGAUUGGAAGCGAGACGAGGCGGAGAAAAACCUGCUUCGUACUCACACAACUGCAGUUUCCGCAAGGAUGCUAUACAAGCUAGCACAGGAGGAACAUUUUGCUCCUAAGAGAUACUAUUCUAUUGAUCGUGUUUUCCGGAAUGAAGCUGUGGACCGAACUCAUCUUGCAGAAUUCCACCAGAUAGAAGGUCUUAUUUGUGACUAUGGUUUGACGCUUGGUGAUCUGAUAGGUGUACUGGAGGAUUUCUUCUCCAGGCUAGGCAUGUCAAAGCUGCGCUUCAAACCUGCCUACAAUCCAUACACUGAACCAAGCAUGGAGAUUUUCGGCUACCAUGAAGAUCUGAAGAAAUGGGUGGAAAUAGGCAACUCGGGCAUGUUCAGACCUGAAAUGUUACUUCCCAUGGGACUGCCAGAGGGUGUUAAUGUUAUCGCAUGGGGUCUUUCACUUGAAAGGCCAACAAUGAUUCUGCGUAACAUUGACAACAUACGGAAGCUCUUUGGGCCAAAGGUCGACUUCAAAGUGAUCAAGGACUGGCAGAUUUGCCGCGCGGGGAUCAGCUGUAGUGAGCCGGAUAGGACUUUAGCUGGUGACUGA